This 864-nucleotide long non-coding RNA is filed under the name Prunus dulcis (almond). RNAcentral's name for it is "sRNA ncRNA". Lineage: Eukaryota; Viridiplantae; Streptophyta; Magnoliopsida; Rosales; Rosaceae. The record is from RNAcentral.
GGACGAAAUUCAAAUAAAAUGUGACACAUGUGUAUGUGUUUAUACAAAAAGGGACCAUUCCUAAUGCGCUCUUCUGCUCUGCAUUGUAAACGGAAGUUAAAGAAAGACUCAGAGCCUCCCCCACGAGCGCACAUGGCUACUAUUUUGAGAUUUUGACCAAAGCCUGCUUCCAAAACUGACAAAACUUGUAACCCCUAAUUUGACGGCCAAGAUCUUCUGACGAAGGUACAGAUCCUCAUGGAAAAAAAAAAAAAAAAAAAAAAAAAAACCGACGUGCAAGGAAAAUGCAAAUAUUCCAUAGCAGAGCAAAUCAAACAGUUAAUCACGCUGAGCUUAAGACAUGCCGCGAGUGUCUCACGGAGAAUUCUGCGGCGCCGUUGUAUAGAAUCCUCCCCCUUACCCACAAAACCCAGCCCCAACAGUGCGAUUACGUGAAUGUGGGUUUCGAUUUUCGCGCCAUUCCAUAGACUUAACGGUCAAAAAGCAGACCCAAGAAAAAAAGCGGGAAUUCCCAUAAAUCCGAAAUUUAAAUUAUUCAAAAAGAAAAAAGAUAUUUUGUUCCGACGGGACAGAGACUGAUUCGACGACGUCGUACUGGACUGUCAUCGACGUGUCACCAUUCCCUUCCAGCGACUAAACCGGCCUUUCUCGCUUCGAAAGGCCAACGGGACCCACCUUUGCACAAUAUCGAUAUGGAUAUUACGGUGGAAUUUUCUCUUCCCCGUGAUAAUUUGUGGACCCCUACACCACCCCACCUCUUUCCGACUUGGCGGGAAACGCGGCCAUCUUCCCGCCACUGCACUUGAAUGAAGCGGUGCGUUUCUAGUGUUUAACCGCCACACCUGUCACUUUCAUAACCGACGC